RNAcentral lists this ribosomal RNA (333 nucleotides) under Triticum aestivum (bread wheat). RNAcentral describes it as "partial small subunit ribosomal RNA". The record is from RNAcentral. Lineage: Eukaryota; Viridiplantae; Streptophyta; Magnoliopsida; Poales; Poaceae.
AUGUGUCGUUGGGACGUGGCGGUGAAGGGAGACAUCUGGACGUGGGUGUCGUCGUGCGUGGCUUCCAAAGAAGAAGCCAGGGGGGUCUGCUUGUUGCGUACGAGAGCCGAGAAGGAAAUGGGUGAUUUGUUGUGUGUGUGUCUGGGCAGAGGAAAGGUGUCCUUGUCAGUCGGUGAAGAGGAAGGCAACGCAUUGUUCCAACAACACGCAGAGUUCGUUCGUGGGUGUUGCUACUCGAGAAUAUGCAUAGGCAAAGGUGAUGCACCAUCUUCAAGCAAUGAAGCCAUCCCUUUGUAUCAAGCCCGUAUAGAUAUUAUAGUUGAUGCCCAUUGA